GUUAUAUUAGCAUAUUAGUGCAUUAAAUUUAGAAUUUAAUUAAAUAAUGAAAAUUGUAUAUAAUA
Molecule: transfer RNA, 65 nt
Filed under: Muda kuroiwae
Lineage: Eukaryota; Metazoa; Arthropoda; Insecta; Hemiptera; Cicadidae
Description: tRNA-Leu
Source: RNAcentral